UACGGAGGGAGCUAGCGUUGUUCGGAAUUACUGGGCGUAAGCGCGCGUAGGCGGCUUUUGUAAGUUAGAGGUGAAAGCCCGGAGCUCAACUCCGGAACUGCCUUUAAAACUGCAUCGCUUGAAUCCAGGAGAGGUGAGUGGAAUUCCGAGUGUAGAGGUGAAAUUCGUAGAUAUUCGGAAGAACACCAGUGGCGAAGGCGGCUCACUGGACUGGUAUUGACGCUGAGGUGACGAAAGCGGUGGGGAGCAAACAGG
RNAcentral lists this ribosomal RNA (255 nucleotides) under uncultured bacterium. RNAcentral's name for it is "partial 16S ribosomal RNA". It matches the Rfam family "Bacterial small subunit ribosomal RNA", at positions 524 to 776 of the family's 1533-position model. The record is from RNAcentral.